RNAcentral lists this ribosomal RNA (309 nucleotides) under Hemistomia minor. RNAcentral's name for it is "eukaryotic LSU rRNA". Lineage: Eukaryota; Metazoa; Mollusca; Gastropoda; Littorinimorpha; Tateidae. The record is from RNAcentral.
UAUUGAACGCAUAUUGCGGCCACGGGUCCGUCCUGUGGCCACGCCCGUCUGAGGGUCGGCGACGUUGUACCCAUCGCUUGGGAGGCUCUGGCCCAGCGCGUUGAGCUUUCGUAGCCCGAAAGGCUCCGUGGCUUGAAAUGCAGACCGUGAAAAGAAAAAGCAAAAACACUCGCUCGUUCGUCCUCGUGCGAGCAAAAGGACAUGGCCCGGAUCUUGACUGUCUUUGCGAGCAAGAGCGUGUUGUUGUUUUUGGCCGGCAUUUCCGACCUCAGAUCGGACGAGAUUACCCGCUGAAUUUAAGCAUAUCAC